RNAcentral lists this transfer RNA (93 nucleotides) under Vulcanisaeta distributa DSM 14429. Its description in RNAcentral is "tRNA-Ser". It matches the Rfam family "tRNA". From Rfam's summary of the family: Transfer RNA (tRNA) molecules are approximately 80 nucleotides in length. Lineage: Archaea; Thermoproteati; Thermoproteota; Thermoprotei; Thermoproteales; Thermoproteaceae. The record is from RNAcentral.
GCCGGGGUGGCCGAGCCAGGUCCAAGGCGCGGGCCUGGAGAUAAAGUCCGUCCCCGCAAGGGGGCCCGGGUUCAAAUCCCGGCCCCGGCACCA